Molecule: ribosomal RNA, 487 nt
Filed under: uncultured bacterium
Lineage: Bacteria
Description: partial 16S ribosomal RNA
Rfam family: Bacterial small subunit ribosomal RNA
Source: RNAcentral
GAUGAACGCUGGCGGCGUGCUUAACACAUGCAAGUCGGACGGGAUCCAUCAGGCUUUGCUUGGUGGUGAGAGUGGCGAACGGGUGAGUAAUGCGUGACCGACCUGCCCCAUACACCGGAAUAGCUCCUGGAAACGGGUGGUAAUGCCGGAUGCUCCGACUCCUCGCAUGGGGUGUCGGGAAAGAUUUCAUCGGUAUGGGAUGGGGUCGCGUCCUAUCAGGUAGUCGGCGGGGUAACGGCCCACCGAGCCUACGACGGGUAGCCGGCCUGAGAGGGCGACCGGCCACAUUGGGACUGAGAUACGGCCCAGACUCCUACGGGAGGCAGCAGUGGGGAAUAUUGCACAAUGGGCGCAAGCCUGAUGCAGCGACGCCGCGUGCGGGAUGACGGCCUUCGGGUUGUAAACCGCUUUUGAUCGGGAGCAAGCCUUCGGGUGAGUGUACCUUUCGAAUAAGCACCGGCUAACUACGUGCCAGCCGCCGCUGUAA